This 3769-nucleotide long non-coding RNA is filed under the name Homo sapiens (human). Its description in RNAcentral is "non-protein coding lnc-CBARP-6:1". The record is from RNAcentral. Lineage: Eukaryota; Metazoa; Chordata; Mammalia; Primates; Hominidae.
GCUUCGUCGAACCGCUCCAAGGGAUCAGGACGGAGGCCCGGAGCCCGCCCGUGGGAGUCCCGGCAAGGCGCAGCCGGCAGAGCCCAGAACUGCCAGCCCAGCGUGGGGGGUCGCGGCUUCCGAGGAAAUCGGGCUGGCAGCGGGGAGACGGGGCGGACCCCGACUUCAGGACCUCGGGCCGCUCAUUCCCACCCACUUCGGGGCGACCCCCGCCACUCCUGCCCCGGCCUCACGGACACUGAGAACGCGUCGGCCACGUCCAGGGCCCAGGAAGGUGGCGCCCCGCUCCCAAGCCUGCUACAGGGAACCCGGGACUCGGCCCAAGACGGGGCCUGACAGCGGCUGCGCGGCCGCCGCUCCCUCGAAGCCGAGUGCGCCUCAGAUCCCGCGAGACUGGAGUCUCCGCGCUGCGAACCCCCUCAGUGGCGAGCCCCCCGCGGUCACUGCUCGGACAAUGACCCUUGCAGUCUUCCCUGUCGGGUCCUACUCGUGCGCUGAACCGAGGUCCGCAGGCUUUUCUUCCAGUGGCCCCGCUCCGCCGACAGACCCCCCUGAACCACAGACUCGGCUUUCUGGGUGCACACGUGGCCCUUUAUUCGAAUCCGACUUUCACAGGGCUCCACAUCGUUGUGGGCAAGGACUGGCCGCCCCGUAAGCUGCCGGCGCACCGCAGCCCGUGCUCCAGGAGAGACUCGAGGCCCUGAGCCCGCACCUCACUGGCGAAGCGCCUCCUGGAAGGAGGAGGAAGGGAGGGAGAACAGGCGCGGGCUCCAGGCGGGGGACCCGGCGCUCCCGGGAGGCGCUGCCCUGCACCCAACACACACCGAAAGGCGCCCGCCAUGGGGCCAUAGGUGCGGGAGAGCAGGACUCACUGAAACGCCCAGGUGCCGCCCGGGACAGGGCUCAGCGCCACAUGCCACUCUUCCCGAAAGCACUUACAGGGGACAAGCCUCCUGGGCAAGCGGCUGCCUCCAGCUCUUGUUCCAGGUGAAGUCCCUCCUGGGACAGUGACCCCAGAGGUCAUCGCUGCUCUCAGGCCACCCUUCCCCGAGUCCUGGCCGGGCCCCUUCAACCUGCCAAAGCAAAGCAGCGUUACUCCCAACGUCCUCCACAGGGCUCACAGCUGCCCCUCCCGGCCUCCCCGGAAACAGCCACAGCCCCUAGGAAGGUCUCAGGCUAGUCAGGGGGCUGUGACCUCAGGCUCCGUCACAGGCCAGCAUGCCCAGGGCGGGUCUGCACCUUGGCGCAGCUGGAGCCAGCUACCCGUAUGGGAUGGAGCUAUGUGGGCCAGUGUGGGCUCUAGAAAAAAACUAAUGGCGGCAACAGACAUCAGAGAAAGCUAAGUUAAGAGUGUGACUUAAAGAGGUCUGGAAAAGACGGUCAAUUGAGCAAAAAAUCCAAAAGGCGGGGGCGUUCACUGGUCUUCAAUCCUGCUUAAGGGAUUUCAUCUAUGAGCCAGGCAUGACUGGGCCCAGGCUGCACCUGGCUGCACGUGGGGAGCGUAAUGGCUGGGCCUGACUUUAGUUCCAGCUUAAUUGAAAAAAACAAAAACAAAGUUAAAAAAAAAAGGAAAAACAAAAAACAGUCACAGGAACAUUCCCCGGGCACAUGACUUUCAGUGAGCUCUCAACAAGAGGGAUGUGGACACGAGCGGAAGGAGUUACCUCGAAUUACAGGGCUAUUUCCACAUAUGAGCUAGCCAAGGGAGCAGCUUGCGUCUCAGAGGGUUCUGUUGGGCGCACAACACUUCUGUCCUCCGAGGGCUGCAGCUUCCAUAGGCUAGCAGAGAAUGCUCAGAACUCGUGAAGCAACAGCAGAACUAGCUAACCGGCUGGCCGUCUGAGGUCGCCCUGGGAUGCCACGUGCCUCUGCUCUCUGGCCUGCUUCUAGACUGAGGCAGUCCAGGUCAGCGUCAGGUGCACGUCCACUGUCCCUGCUAAGCUGCCCGCACAGUCCAGCCCUCUGGCCACCACUGCCAGAAGCCUCCCAGGGCUGCCCUGAGGCCUGAGCUGCCCGCUCCCGUCCCCCGCCUGGCUCCCCUACCCUGACCAGCGCCAGUCUGCUGGGCCUCCCUUUCUAGCUCUGCAGGCCCCAGGGAAGGCUUGCAGACCCGCUGCUUCUCCACCUUCUCUCUCUGCUCAGGUCUGGCUGCAGGAGCCCGCAGCAAGGAGUGUGUGGUGCAAUGCAAGGGAAUUGUCAGAGCAAGGUUCAUUUCACACGGUCUUUUAAUCGGCUUCGUAAAGCCAAAGAAAACUGCGUACAAGAAUUCCUCAGCCACUGCAAAUACAACAUCGAUGGAGUAUGCGUACGUCUUCCAGUAAAAAAGGACAAUAUAAAUAAACAUCUUCAAGAACCUCUCAGGGACGUCUGCACGUCUACUGUGGGGCGCACAGCACAGAUGGACGCAGGGGCUGGGGCUCCAGGGCAGUUGCUGCCACACCCGCCGGGGUCCUACCACACUACACUCAGAAACGUCACACGGAGUUGGAAAAAAGCCACAGCUUGCUCAGCUUCCGACAAAGAGCGGAUUCACAGUCCGUUCGAUCUCAGAGAAGUGAGUGGGGCACCCACUUCAUGGGGCCAACCCCACUAAAAAAAAAAAGGCAACGCAACCAAAAACUAAAACAAAAACCAAAAACCCACACAACCCCCGAUUUUUUUGAAAACUCAUGGCUCGUGGUCAAAAAAGUAAAUGCUUUUCAAAAUGUUUUGAAAACCCUCAAAAAAAAACAGCACUUCCUUAAAAAGAAAAGUCUAGUAACGAGGCCAUCCCGGCGUCAGAAGCGGUCAGGCUGGGUUUGACAAGAUCAGAACCGAAAUGACUACGAAAGUGGGAAUACAAGGAGGUGCAUUUACUACACAUUAACGUUCAGCGAAGCUCCCACAAUCUUUAAACACACAGCCAUUGGAAGGACGAUCUUGAGCAGGAAGGGUUUUUACUCGUUGUGUGUAGCUGAGGACAAGAAGCAGGCACAGUGUAAAGGCACCGAAGCAACAAGAGGCAGCUUCACCCCAGAGGCCAGACCAGGGCGCGGCCUGCGGCCGGGGAGCAACCACCCCCCACAGCCGAGGGAGGCUGGCCUGCGGCCACACAUGCACCUAGCUGACUGCCCAGCGGGCCCUCGCUCUCCCUUGCCUUUUUGGUCAGUCUCAUUUGGCUUUUGCGUCCUGCGAUAGAAAUGGCUCUGAGAGGACAGAUGCGCCUCUUCUGGGCAAGCACAGUGACAAGGUCUGAGUGUCCAGCCUAAAGUGCUUGGAGAGGGCACCAAGGUGAACCGAGCUCCCACCGCAGGCCACAGCAGCGUGGCGCCCUCGGAGUGUGACUUACCGUAACUGUCAUAACUGUCUCUGUAGGACCCGCCCGAGCUCCGGUCACUGUAGCCACCACUCUGACUCCGGCUGCAAGACAGACAAACGUUGAGUACCGGAAGGUACCCGUCUACUUCUGCUCUGCCACAACAGGCUGAGCCGCCAGCCCCCAUGCCAGCCGUCCCUUCUGGGGACACAACAAGGACCCCAGCAGGGCAGCAUCUUGGAAAUUGUUCAAAAUCUCCACCAGCCUGUCCCCCAGGCCCUCCCGCUUCUGCGAAUGUCCUGAGCAGUCUCCUCUCCUCUUGGCCUGGGUCCCCACCUGCCUCUGCUCCUUGCCCAGCCAGUCUCAUCUCAGCUCCCCCAGGGACCUGGGACCCGGGACGGAAGCUGGCCAUCCCGCAACCACCCCUGUGCUUGGGCCGGCCUCCCCCUCACCUGCUAUAGUAGUCUCUGGAGC